MicroRNA precursor from Gorilla gorilla gorilla (western lowland gorilla), 57 nucleotides. The record is from Ensembl. NCBI's taxonomy places the organism in Eukaryota, Metazoa, Chordata, Mammalia, Primates, Hominidae.
UGGCGUCUGGGGCCUGAGGCUGCAGAACAUUGCAGCAUUCAUGUCCCACCCCCACCA